This 392-nucleotide unclassified non-coding RNA is filed under the name Proteus mirabilis. Its description in RNAcentral is "partial 16S-23S ribosomal RNA intergenic spacer". The stretch from base 85 to 157 matches the Rfam family "tRNA". Lineage: Bacteria; Pseudomonadati; Pseudomonadota; Gammaproteobacteria; Enterobacterales; Morganellaceae. The record is from RNAcentral.
CCUAAGAGAUACGUGUUAUGUGCAGUGCUCACACAGAUUGUCUGAUGAAGAACGAGCAAAAGCGCGUCUGCGAAGCUGACAAAAGUCCCCUUCGUCUAGAGGCCUAGGACACCGCCCUUUCACGGCGGUAACAGGGGUUCGAAUCCCCUAGGGGACGCCAAUGCGCGGUAUGAGUGAAAGGCGUACCACUUAUCUGACGAGAGUCAGAGAAUAACUAAGCUAAUUCAAAUGAGUUAUCUUACUUAUUAUGCUCUUUAACAAUCUGGAACAAGCUGAAAAAUUGAAAACAAAUCAAUAUAUCACCGAGGUAUAUUGAUGAGUCUCUCAAAAUCUCAAACCUUAAAGUUUGUCACGCAAAGUUUAUCUUUGAAAGAGACACUUUCGGGUUGUGA